AUUAACUUGGCAGAUUAGUGCAUCGAAUUUAGAAUUCAAAUAUGUAUACAAUACAGUUAAUA
Molecule: transfer RNA, 62 nt
Filed under: Antrokoreana gracilipes
Lineage: Eukaryota; Metazoa; Arthropoda; Diplopoda; Julida; Nemasomatidae
Description: tRNA-Leu
Source: RNAcentral